UACACGACUCUCGGCAACGGAUAUCUCGGCUCUCGCAUCGAUGAAGAACGUAGCGAAAUGCGAUACCUGGUGUGAAUUGCAGAAUCCCGCGAACCAUCGAGUCUUUGAACGCAAGUUGCGCCCGAGGCCACUUGGCCGAGGGCACGCCUGCCUGGGCGUCACGC
Molecule: ribosomal RNA, 164 nt
Filed under: Poa speluncarum
Lineage: Eukaryota; Viridiplantae; Streptophyta; Magnoliopsida; Poales; Poaceae
Description: 5.8S ribosomal RNA
Rfam family: 5.8S ribosomal RNA
About the family: 5.8S ribosomal RNA (5.8S rRNA) is a component of the large subunit of the eukaryotic ribosome. It is transcribed by RNA polymerase I as part of the 45S precursor that also contains 18S and 28S rRNA. Functionally, it is thought that 5.8S rRNA may be involved in ribosome translocation.
Source: RNAcentral